UACGUAGGGUGCGAGCGUUAAUCGGAAUUACUGGGCGUAAAGCGUGCGCAGGCGGCGGCCCAAGUCAGGUGUGAAAUCCCCGGGCUUAACCUGGGAAUUGCGCUUGAAACUAGGUCGCUAGAGUGUGGCAGAGGGGGGUGGAAUUCCACGUGUAGCAGUGAAAUGCGUAGAUAUCUGGAGGAAUACCGGUGGCGAAGGCGGCAUCCUGGACCGGCAUUGACGCUGAGGAGCGAGAGCCAGGGGAGCAAACGGG
Molecule: ribosomal RNA, 253 nt
Filed under: uncultured bacterium
Lineage: Bacteria
Description: partial 16S ribosomal RNA
Rfam family: Bacterial small subunit ribosomal RNA
Source: RNAcentral